GACGAACGCUGGCGGCGUGCCUAAUACAUGCAAGUUGAGCGAUGAAGAUUGGUGCUUGCCACAAUUUGAAGAGCAGCGAACGGGUGAGUAACGCGUGGGGAAUCUGCCUUUGAGCGGGGGACAACAUUUGGAAACGAAUGCUAAUACCGCAUAACAACUUUAAACAUAAGUUUUAAGUUUGAAAGAUGCAAUUGCAUCACUCAAAGAUGAUCCCGCGUUGUAUUAGCUAGUUGGUGAGGUAAAGGCUCACCAAGGCGAUGAUACAUAGCCGACCUGAGAGGGUGAUCGGCCACAAUGGGACUGAGACACGGCCCAAACUCCUACGGGAGGCAGCAGUAGGGAAUCUUCGGCAAUGGACGAAAGUCUGACCGAGCAACGCCGCGUGAGUGAAGAAGGUUUUCGGAUCGUAAAACUCUGUUGGUAGAGAAGAACGUUGGUGAGAGUGGAAAGCUCAUCAAGUGACGGUAACUACCCAGAAAGGGACGGCUAACUACGUG
This 497-nucleotide ribosomal RNA is filed under the name uncultured bacterium. RNAcentral's name for it is "partial 16S ribosomal RNA". It matches the Rfam family "Bacterial small subunit ribosomal RNA", at positions 28 to 507 of the family's 1533-position model. The record is from RNAcentral.